GAGUCGGACACGACUGAAGUGACUUAGCAGCAGCAGCAGCUUAUCCUCACCAGUAUCAUUAAAAAAAUAUUUACUGAGGGCCUGCUGAGUGCCAGGCCCUGUUCUAGGCCCACUGUCCCACCAGUGAAGAGUUUGUGAAGUUCAUUUUCUGCUGGAAGGAGACAGACAAAAAAGCCAAUGGACACAUGGCCGCCUCGCUGAUGAACUCCAGAGCAGGGGAGCUCAAGGGCUUUCCUGGCGACAAGGUAGAUGACUAAUGGGGGAACUGCAGGCACUCAGGCUGGUGGUGGAGGUAGGGAAGGGAAACUCUCCUGGAGUCCUGGGGUUACAAUCCUGUGAUACCAAGAGGCUGGGAAGGACGCGGAUCUCCUCCUUAGAGGUCAAGAAAAUAGUAAGAGACGCCGUUCCAAACACGUGAUACAUGUCGCUCACAUCUUCCCAGCAGCUCCGUUGGCCUUUGCCCCGUUAUAAGGGCCGUAACUCACGCACCCGGAUCUCAGGCUGCUGAGACUGCAGCCCAGACUGGGGCCACCUCCCCACUGCGCUCCCUCCUGCAGUCUGUCUGGGGGCGCCUCAUGCUCAGCUCAGGGGGUGAAUUAAGGAGUCAGGGCUGUCUUCCGGGCUGUGUGACCUAUGCAGUUCCGUAGGGACCUGUGCUCAGAAGAGCUCGUAAUUAGCUUAAGGCUCUGCUGUCACAGCCUUCAAAUUCGUAAUAAUUUUAAAUAAAGGGCUCUAGAUUUUUAUUCUGCAGUGGGCCCUACAGAUUAUGAAGGUGGUCUUACCACCUUGCCAUCAUACAAGCCAACCUUAGGAUCCAGCCCCUUUGCUUUGAUUGGUGGAUGUUAACUCACGUCUGACCAAUGAGAUGCAAGCAUUGUACUCUGGGGCCUUCUGGGAAAAUCUCUUCUCCCUGGAAAGAGGCGGCGUCCUGCAGAGUAUUUUCUCUCUGUGGCCCUUGCCUUCCUUUGAAUCUUGAGCACUUGGAUACUCCUGUCCACACCUCCUGCUACUACCCUGAUCCAGAUGAUUAUCGUUUACCGCAGAUGUCCCGGACUUCUCACUAGUCUCCCGGCUCCCACGCUCCCCCUACCGCCCCUCCCCACAACUGUAGUCAGAGAAAUCCUAUCACAUCCGUCAGGUCCUGUCCGUCCUCGCUCAGACCCUCCAGGAACUUCCCACCCCUCUCUGAGUGAAAGCCCCAGACCCCACACCCCCUGCAAGGCCGCUCUAGAUCCCGGGCCCGCGCGCUCCCGGACCUCCCGCCGCGCCUCUCUCUCCAUCUUCACUCUGCCCCUGCCGCUCUGGCCUCAGUGCUCCUCACGGAGGAAUGAGCUGUUUGCACGAGCUGGGCCUUCGCAUGAGCUCUUCCCCGGGAAUCCCCGUGGCUCCCGCCCCUGCUCCUUCAGGUCCCCUUCACGAGUCAGGCCGAGCCAAGCGGAACAGGGAUCCUGGACUGGGACCGCGAUGACUCAGCGGAGCCCCUGCCAGCCAUGGCCCUCUUGCUCCAGGAUUCUCCUUGACUGGAGGUAAGGAGUGCACCUUCACCAGUUUCAUCUCCUGUUAUUGCAGCUCGAUUCCUCGCACACGGAUAGUGGUUGAGAUUUGAGUUCAGAUUGCAGCUGGGGUGUGGUCCAGGGGCAGUAAUGGGCAGUAAUGGGCAGGGGAGGCAGGGGAGGCCGGGCGCUCCUCUACCUGAGUCCCUGUCGCAGCCUUCGGCCCUUGUCCCUUCCCACCCAGAAGUCCCGAGGGGCUCCGGUGAGGGGUCCGUUCCCACAAGCCCGUCCCCUCCUGGGAAGGCUUCAGCCAGCCUCUGCCCAGCACGCGGGGAGGGCACUGCCCCGGCCUCCCUGCUGUUUCCUUCCAGCACUUUCCAGGCCCAGGUUCCCAGGGCAGAGCCGCCCCGGCAUCCCUCCCGUGGGGUCUGUCCCUGCUGCCCUGGCUUCAGCCUCCAGAUCGUUCCACUUCCUUUAGCCGUGCCCCCUCUCUCCGUCAAAGCCUCCCAGUCCUCUGCCCCCUCCUCUGGCCCUGCUGAGGGUCCCCAGGUAACGGGGAGCUGCCCCCAGUCAACUCCGUGCUUCCCCAGAGCCCCCGGGACUGUGGGGGUGACACAUGGUGGGGAGGGGGUGGGCUGUCCUGGGGACAGGACCCCGCAGACACGCCGUGGGGAGGACAGCCAGCCCUGAGGGGGCUGCACAGACUGGCCGCUCUCCUUCCUGGCUUAUGGCCCAAACAGCUCCGAGGAAAAGAGCGCGGGUCGACCCUGGCGGGUGGGACUUGCCUCGGCUCUGACGCUGCAGGACGAUGGAGCGGCAGGCUGCAGGGGACCAGCCCUUCCGGAGGCGGGGUGGGGGCUCGGAUGCGGGAGGCGGGGCUGCCCCCCCAUCUUUCCCGCACCGCUGGGAGGGAGCCGUCGGGGGUCCUGGUGCUGUCGCCUGGGGGCCUGUGGGAGGGGCUGCCAAGUCUGUGUCCUGUCCUCAGCCAGGCCAGACCAGGGUCCUGUGUGCAGAGCCUCAGCUGUGCAAGGGGGGGACCACCCUCCCUCCCUCCCCCAUGAGCCCCUCCUCUGCUCCACGGGUCUGACUCAGGGGCAGCAUCCAGUGUCUGACCCUGCUUCGUGGGCAAGAAGGAAAUCCAACCUCUCUCCUCCCAGUUACCAGAGGAAUGGGAUCCUGUCUGAGACUGAACAGUCGAUGUGAAGUUCAGAGUUAACUGGACACCUAACAGGUGCUGGGCUUGGUUCCCAUGUGCAUGUCACCUCCUUGACUCCUCCCAGCAGAUCUGUGAGGCGCACUGUGAUCGCCGCCCUCCUGCUGUGGAGAUGGAUGGGGGUGCUGGAGGGUUCACUCAGGGUCGUGGGGCUCCAGGACACAAGGGGUGGGGUUUGGGCACACGGCAUCCUCACUGCCAACCCCCAGGCCUGCCUGCAGCUGGUGGAAUGAGAGACGCUGCCCCUGAGCGCGGGAUCUGUCAGAGAGGGGACCCUCAGCGUGAUUCCAUCCUGGGGGGCUCCUGCUACAUAAGAAAUGAAGAAAUGGUACGCACAGACAUGAGGACCAGGACAGACGGACAAGUGAAGACGCAGGCGACUCAGUGCUUGAACUUGGUGGCCUGACUUCCUGGGUUCAAACUCCUGGACAAGUGCCUUGGUUUCUGGGCCUCAGUCUCCCCAUCUGCUGCAUGGGCUCACGGCAGCGUGCUCCACCCGGGGCUGGUGUGGGUCUCGGCUCACGAGCACAGGUAAAGCCUGUGAUCCGCACCAGGUCACAGAACUGCCCAGGAAGCCGCGAUGGCUAUUUGGCAGCGUAGCCCACAGUUUCUCUUUGACUCAAGACAGCCUCAUUUGAGGCAACUCCAAGAGUCUAAGAUUCAGGCCUUUUGUGGAGGUGAAGCCCGGGUCUGGGAUAGGCUGGGGCCCUGGGGACUGGGGACAAAAUGUGUUCAUUUAUUUCACAAAGAGGUGAGUUUAUCUGCAUUUUCCACCUGAAUGCUCCAGGGAAACAUUUGUGAGGAUGCUGCUCCCAAAAUAACCUGUGAUUUCAUUUGAGGAGCUAAUUAGGCGGAAUCAAUGUGGUUUAUUCAAAGGAGGGGUCCAUUCCAGACCAAGAGGCAUGGAGAUUACAGGAGGAGGGCUGCUUGGCUGAAUGCAAAGUGGGUGAAGGGUUGUGUGACCACACAGCCUCUACCCCUGAGAAUCAUCUCCCUCCAGCCUCCAGAAACUAAGGAUGCUCUGACACUAGCACUUCCAGUUUCCAGUGGCAGAGAGUGUAGAAAACACGGUCCCUGGGUAUCUGUACCCCACAACCUGCCCCAGCCCUCAGGUCCCUUCCAGAGACCCAGGGUGAGGUCAGCAGGAACCGGAAAUGAGUCAGAAGGGCCUUGGUUCAGAAUCCACCUCUGCCACUUACUGGCUCUGUGGUCCUGGGUAUAUGCAUGACCACUCUGAGCUUCAGUUUUCUCAUCUGUAAAAUGGGAAUAAAUAGAAGCAUUUCCCUCCCAGGGCUAGUAUGAGGCUUGAAGAAGUUCUAUUCAAGUGCGUACGUAACAAGUCCCUGCCACAUCAUCCCUGCUCAGGGGAUGGGCUGUUACUGUUAUUUCCUCCUUUGUAAAGUGGAGAAGAAUAAUUGCCACACUGAUAUUCGUCAUACACACCAUAUACAUCGUACGACUGAGCACAGUGCCUGGGCCAUGGCGGAGCUCAGCAGAUGGGGACGGCUCUCCCCUUGGGUUCGGAUCUGUCUGAACACUUGACACACAGUCAGGCGGGCUGGGUUAUGCUGCCUAACAAGCAGUCUCCUGAGCUGAGAGGCCUGAAGCAUCAAGGCUGAUUUCUUGCUCAGACUGCAGGUCCCCAGAGGGCGGCUGGGAGCUGGGCUCAGCCUCCUCCUCGUGACCCUGGGUGAAGCGGUCUGCCCUCUCUGACGUCACCACAGACCUGGCAGAAGGAAGAGGAGGUGGGGAGGGGUCUUGCCCGGGCUGUUAAUUUCCCCAGCCUGUGGGUGGCCUGGUCACUGUGCUCACCUCUCAUUGGCCAGGAGGAGCACGUGGCCACAGCCACAGGGGACCAGAAGUGCAGCCCUGUGUGUGCCUGGGGUGGGGAUGGCACCGCUGACUUCCAGAGAUUCCUUGGGAACCAGAACUUGGUAACCGCCUCCAAGAGCAUGACCUGCGGUAGAGUGUCCUGCUCCAUCGGGGCGCUCGGUGAAGGAAGGGGGCUGCUUCCUUCUCCUCAUUCAUGACUCAGGUUUAACCUGCUCCAUCGGGGCACCCAGUGAAGGGAGGGGGGGCCUCUUCCUUCUCAUUCAUGACUCAGGUUUAACAAUAGGCGCCUCGCUGGAGAACAGCAUGGCCUGUAGCUAAUUCUCUUUCAGAUCUUCCCUCCUGGAUAAUCCCUUUGAUACUGCAAAACUAACCAGUGAGGAGGUAAAAACAGGAUUUGUUUGAUUCUGCAGGAAUCGUGCUUCUGUCUCCAUGUCAGUUCCCAAAGAGAAAUGUUUGCUGCAGAAAGAGCUUCCGUCUUAAUUACAGUGAUUAAUAAAUAGUAGCCUCACUCGUGGAUGUGUGUGUGUGUGUGUGUGUGUGUAACUUUCACAAGACUUCUAAGCUGGCACAAUGCCGCCCUCCCCCAACCCGAUCAAUGCCCCCUACCCUCAGAGGCCCGAUUAAACAAACAAGAGCCCCGAGAGCAGAAUCGGUGAAGAAGCACUGUGUUGAUGCUCCUUAUUCUUCCUCCCUUUGGACAGUGACUCUCCAGCUCCACUCUGCACACUGGACACUCUGCCAGCUUGGGCAUAGAAAAUUCCAGAGCAAAGACAGUUCAGCCUGGCUCAGGAUUUCCCUGGUGCCCCUGCCUGGCCCCACAGUACUCCUGAAUUUCAAGCCCCCCACGGAAGUGCAGAUGAGGGGUGCUGUCUCUGGCUUCUUGCAUCAUCCUUCACAUCCUGCAUCCCCCUCUGCUAGGCAUCGCCCAUUCCUCAGGCCAGGUGCCUGGGCCCAAGGGGCUGUUCUCAGAGGCCCGUGUUGCCAUGGGAAAGGGGCCUGCCAAGUAGGUCUUAGCUCCUCCACCUGGGGCCUCCCUGACCCCCUUGUCUAAGGAAGCUCCUGUCUCCUAUGGUGUCUCUUCUUGUUCCAUCAGACUGGACUAUUUUCUUCAUGGGGUUUAUUAGAUCUGUGAUCCUGCUCAUAUGAUUAUUGACUAUCUCCUCCCACUUGAAAGCCAGCUCUGUGAGGGCGGAACAGUAGCUGGCCCAAGGCUGGGUUUCCAGGUCAUAGCACAGCCUCUACCACCUAGGAUGCACUUAAUAAGUUUUCACUGAGUGAGUGCAGGAAUGAAUGAAUGAAUAAAAGAGUGAAAAAAUGAGUGAAUGAAUAAAAGCUCAUCCUGGUAGUAGACUCAGCUCCAAACUUACCAGUCCCAUGUCUCUUUUCUUUCAAUGCUUGCCACAUCUGAGACCUAAUGAAGAACUCAUUUGUGCUAAUAAAUACGUAUUAGUUCUUUCAAGAUGAGAUAUGCAUAUUUUAAUGAGGACUGUCUAGAGGCUCCGGUUUUUAAUCCAGGGAAGUUACCCCACUAAUGAGAAUGUGAAGUGAUGAUGAUGAGGGGAUAUGGAUAUUUAGGGCAUGGAGGCUGGGAAGACACAUCAAAUCACAGAAUUGACCAGGCCUCCUAGAUGCAGUGUGGGAUGGAGGGGGAUCUCUGCAGUGGGACUGAGCAAGGACCAGAGCUCGUUUCCGCUUAGCCUGUGGUCUGACUUCCUUGGCCUAAACAUUCCUACAUGUAAAUGGGGACUGUAAAUCACACUUCACAGGGCUGGUAGGAAGGUAGUCCUGGUUUGUUGUAAAUUGCAGGUUUUGCUCACCAAAUAGAAGGAAUGAUGGUAAUGAUCAGCAGUGACCCUACCUGUCACAGAUGGAGUAUCUUUGGCUUCAAGGAAUAGAAAACUCGCAAAUGAGUAGCUCAAUAGGAAGGACAGUUUAUUAUGUCAUAAACCAAGGGAGCCAGGGGGCAGCUCUGGGUUUGGCCGGCUCAGAGGCUGUGUCUCAAGGACCCAGGUUCCUUCCAGCUUCCCGCUGUGCUGUCUUCUUUCCAUUGGUUCGAUUCCCAGCUAUUCCCCCUGAUCUGUGCAGGAAGGUUCCACAGCUCCAAGUACCACAACCUCAGGCCACAGAGCCCAGAAGCAGAAAGACAAGAAAAAUGUGUCUUUCUUCUUGUUGCUUCUUUUUAAGACUCAGGAUACCUUUUCCAGAAGCUCCCAGUGGAUUUUUUUCUCGUGUUACUUCAGCCAAACUUGCAUCCCAUGCUUGUUCCUAGACUAGCUGCUGGCAAAAGAAAUGGACUGGUUGUCAUUGACCAGCGGUUUUCUUUUUUCUUCUAAUAUUUGUUUAUUUGUCUGCGUCAGGUCUUAGUUGCGGCACGGGGGAUCUUUUAUUUGUGAAUUCUUAGUUGCAGCAUGUGGGACCUAGUGCCUUGACCAGGGAUCGAACCCAAGAUCGAGCCUGCAUUGAGAAUGCAGAAUCUUUACCCACUGGACCAACAUGGAAAUCCUGGGUAGGGGUUUUCUACCAGAGAGGUAUGCCCCCCAGGAGACAUGUUGGAGAUGAGGGUGUUUUGGCUUGUCUCAAUGAUUGGUGACUUUGCUGGCAUUGAGGAGGGUGGGGCUGAGAAAGCUUGAUGUUCUACAAUGUGUUAGACAGUCUACUCAGGACAGACUGAUCUUUCACAUGUGUGAAGAGCCACUUUAAUCAUCUGAGCUUAGAACCUGUGUCAAUUUCAUAUCCAAACAAAAUAUUUUUGUAAGAUUUUAAUGCAUACUGACUAUGCUAUUUAUAUUCUAGUCUCUCUUUCUUUUUCCUGUCCUUCUGUUGUAGGGUGAUUCCUGUUCUUAUUCACUUACAUCCACACUUAUUCUCCAGAUGUUGGCAAGGAUCUGACUAUUCGUCAUGUCUUUUUGUAUGUCUAUAGCUGUUCAUUUGCAUACUGAAAUAUGAUUUAUGUUAUUUCAAAUUAUUUUCUUUUAUUUCUUUUUUAUAAUCCACUUAGAGCAUUAUAAUGGGUUUUUAAGUACUUGUGAUGUCGUAGAUUAAUUAUUUAUGACUUUCAUUCCAGGGCAGUAGAAAGGUCAUUAAAUACAUUUCUUCUUUGGAGAGGUCACUGCAUCUGAUGGAUUGAGAGUCACUGGCCUGAGUCCAUCAAGAUCACACCCUGGGGCUGAGAGGGGCGUCUGUGUUCUGAAACUCGGGCUUCCUGGUGCCUGAAUCAAAUCAGAAUUGGUUUGAGAUUGGAGCCUGAGAGUGGCUAUUGGCUUGGCACCCGUGGAGUCAGAUGUGUCCCCCGUACACAGUCUCUUAGCUGCCACUGAGUCGCAGUAUAUGAGAGAUGGAUGGUUCUGGGCGAGGCUGUUGGAGGCAGUCUGCCACGUUCAUUCACUUAGCUGUUACUGAGGAUCUGUUCAGUUCCAAGAAUCACACUCCCAGUUGUGAAGGUCUGGGGGUUCUGUUACAUGAGGUUUAACAAGAGGAAAAGGCUAAGUUUUGACGGUUGCUUUGUCGUCAUCGUUAGUCGCUCAGUCGUGUCUGACCCUUUCUGACCCUAUGGACUGCAGCAUGCCAGGCUUCUGUGUCCUUCACCACAUCCCACCGUCUGC
Molecule: long non-coding RNA, 8141 nt
Organism: Cervus elaphus (red deer)
Lineage: Eukaryota; Metazoa; Chordata; Mammalia; Artiodactyla; Cervidae
Exons: 3
Source: RefSeq, a predicted model, not a curated record